CCACAGACACUAUAGGUGACUUUGUAUAAAUAUGCGUGUGUCUGGGCGUGUGUGUGUGUGUGUGUGUGUGUGAUUAAGUAUAGGUAUGCGUGCAGGUCCGAGCCACUGCCAAGCUACAGAGCCACAGCCGCAGCGGUAUGAGAACAAGUCUAAAUUGAAUAGACCUCUCAGUAUCAUGGCGACGUUUAAAGCCUUCGUAUUAUAAUAAAAUUUUCGUUGUUGAAGCGUUGGACGGUUUGGUGCUGCGCGUACAAUUUAUAAUAAAUAUAUAUCUAUGCAGUGUUGCUGCAAGCUCUGUACCGUACUUGAAAAUUAAUAGAAUUUUAUAAUAAAAUUCGCUUAACGCUUCAAAGCAUGGAACGCAGCAAACUUUGUGAAAAUUAAAUUGAUUUGAAUGAAUGGAGAAUAAAGAAAGAAAUGUGUGCAUAAAAGUUACACCUAUACGCGCAUAUAACAUUAGUCAUAAGUUGAAUUGGUAUACAAAAAGAGCUUCGGUGAACACUAAGUGACUUCAAGUUUCUUUAAUUUUUUUACGGGUUUGAUGAUGGUUUUUUUCUGAGUGCAAUCAGUGUGUCUAAUGUGUUUUAAUAAAAAUCUUGAUUAAAUUACUUUACGUAAUAUAAGCAUGCAUACCAUGUAGUAUGUACAUAUGUACAUACAUACAUACAUACAUAGACACUACGUACAUAACAUACAUAUAAGCGAGUACAUUAAAAAUUUAUCAAGUGUGAAUAAGUGCGAUUCUCCUUUUUUUCGAAACUAUUCACUAUACUCAUUGCUUAGUUGCGAAAGUGAAAUAAUGCCUGCCUAAUGCUCAAUACAAAGAUACAUUUGCAGGCUACAUUAAAAGCGUAAAAGUGUAAACGCGUUGUGAAAAAUGGUGCAUAAGAAUCCGCUCUAAUCUACAAGUAUACCGCAGUAAGUCAAGAGAGCGAAAAAAUCCAGCAUUAAAGAUGGAGUUCCAAGUACAGCGAAUGAAUCAAUGGAGGAGAAGAAGAAAUGAAACAUGGUUAUUGAAAGAAACCAAACAAGCGUAGAUGGAUGUACGUAAAGUGGAGAACGAUGUGUUGUGAGUUUCGGCAGCUUUAGUUAUCUUUAAUUUUACAUUGGCGCUUGCUAGGUUGAAAAUGUUUCGCAAGAUAAAACACGCAACAUCUAUAGUGUGAAUAUAAAUAAGUCAGAAAAAUUUCCAUAGCUUAUACGGAUAUUCAAACAUAGUAAUUCAGCAUGAAACACUUUAAUGCAAAAAUUAUUUUCCGCCUGUGAGCUUGAGAGUUUUGUAAAAUUACAAACGAACAAACUAAUUUCAGCAUAACUUCCAAAUAUGUAUUGCAAUUCGCAAUAGUUAACAUCAAUUCGCUAUGUAGUACAGCGUAACAAUUCUAAAAAAACAACUAA
Molecule: long non-coding RNA, 1398 nt
Organism: Rhagoletis zephyria (snowberry fruit fly)
Lineage: Eukaryota; Metazoa; Arthropoda; Insecta; Diptera; Tephritidae
Source: RefSeq, a predicted model, not a curated record